Molecule: non-coding RNA, 74 nt
Organism: Clonostachys solani
Lineage: Eukaryota; Fungi; Ascomycota; Sordariomycetes; Hypocreales; Bionectriaceae
Source: the annotation of a GenBank genome assembly
UCUCCCUUGGUGUAGUUGGUUAUCACAUAGCUCUGUGGAUGCUAAGGUCGCCAGUUCGAGCCUGGCAGGGAGAA